This 270-nucleotide ribosomal RNA is filed under the name uncultured bacterium. RNAcentral's name for it is "partial 16S ribosomal RNA". It matches the Rfam family "Bacterial small subunit ribosomal RNA", at positions 30 to 291 of the family's 1533-position model. The record is from RNAcentral.
AUUGAACGCUGGCGGCACGCCUAACACAUACAAGUCGAACGGCAGCGCGAUUGAGAGUAAUCUUAAUUGGCGGCGAGUGGCGAACGGGUGAGUAAUACGUAGGAAUAUGCCUUAAAGACUGGGAUAGCCUUGGGAAACUGAGGGUAAUACCGGAUGAGCUCUGCGGAGGAAAGGCUGGGGACCGAAAGGCCUGGCGCUUUAAGAGUAGCCUACGUCCGAUUAGCUAGUUGGUGGGGUAAAGGCCUACCAAGGCGACGAUCGGUAGCUGGU